CAAGCAUAUUGGAACUGCAGCAGCUGUGGACUGUAAUUGCAAAGCAUUAUUUUCUGUUUCUCUCUGAAUGUGUGUGCAUGUGUGUGCGUGCACACACACACAUGGUUGCACUGCUGUGAAGAUCCAUUUAUAAUUAUUCCUUCUGUAGGGCUCCCCAUAACUAUGAUUACAUGGUAUGUAGGGCCAAUGAAAAGGCGUGGAAUUACGGUUGCCAACUGACCAGGACAAGACCACAGACUGCAUGCUAAAGAUGCAGAUAAAAAGCCGGCCACUCUGUAAAGAAUGAUUUGCUCUGCUGAUCAGUCACCUUUAAACAGGUCAGCAAGCGGUAUCAGAAAUGUUUAAUUUGUUGGUUUGUUUCCUGUAAUUUAAUUGUUCUCGUUCAUCAUUGCACACAGCCCUGUUCCUCCAGGCUCUGCUUCCUCUUCCUUUUCUGUGACUUGCUUCCAAGAAAGGCCCUGAUUAAAAAAAAACCUGCAUUGCCCCACCACCUCUCUUCUGCCAGGUCCUUAGACUCAUGCCACUCCUCAGCUCUUCACUUGCUUGGUUCACCAUCUCAACAAGAUGGCCCCAUUCUCUAAUCCCCAGCCCUGGCUCCCCCUCCAGGCACAGAUGAAGUUAACACCUCUGGUGAACAAAAAAAUCCAGGACUUUCCCUGGAAAAUAGGGACACUUGCAUAAUCUGCCCAACAGUUUCUGUCUUCAGCUGCUUUUCUUCCACCAUUUGGUGUAUCCAGAGGCAGCCAUUGUAGAUUCUAGGACAUUCAUUCAGCUCUUUUCUUACAUGAUCACACACAGAAAUAUUCAUGCAGGUUGGCAGAUUAGUAUAAUUCGGAGAGGGAAGGAGGCAGGCAAGUAAAAAGACACCAGGGCCUACUCCCGCCAACUGCCCUGUAAGGAAAAUUUUCAAGAGAGCAAGAGAUAGGCAGGCAAAAUUCUCCUCAGAGCAUGCUGCAGGUGACCUGUUGCCUCCCCUCAUGGGGCCAUUGAUCAUUGUCCUAUGGGAACGAGUCCAGGAGAGACAGGAAAAUAUAAUCUCAGGGCCUCCUCCUGCUAGACUCUCUCCUCUGCCCCCAUGGGGCCGUCUGCCCCCAACUAUCCUGUGGGAAGGCGUGGGCCAGAGGCAGUUAAAAUGGCUGCUGUCUCCUCAGCAGCCCAACAAGCAAUCAGUCAGAACAGGUGGUUGCUGAAGAUACCUUCUACCACAUGUGGUGGACUUGUAAAGAGGUAAAGGCUUUCUGGGAAAUGGUAUAUAAUGAGAUAAAGAAAAUGUUUAAAAAUACUUUUGUUAAAAAACCAGAAGCCUUUUUACUGGGUAUAGUGGCUGAAGAGAUACCAAGGGAAGAUAAAAGACUGUUUAUGUAUGCAACAGCUGCGGCAAGAAUUCUUUUAGCCCCAAAAUGGAAACAACAAGAAGUACCAACGAAAGAAGAGUGGCAGAUGAAGAUGAUGGACUUUGCAGAACUGGCAAAACUGACAGGAAAAAUCUGAAACCAGCAUGAUCAAGUAUUCCAAAAGGACUGGAGUAAAUUUAUACGAUAUCUGAAAGAUUAUUGUAAGCAAUUAACAUCACUAGCAGGGUUGUCUGAAGACUUGUAAUGAGAAAUUUUCUAUCUUUCUAUUUUUAUUUAAAAUUUAAGCUAUUUUGUAAUGAGUGUAAUUAGAAUUGGAAAACGUACAAAAUGCAAUGAUACAAAGGUUAAUUUUGAAAGCCAUGAGGCGGGAGGGAAGGAAGUCGAUAGGCUCUAAAGAGCCAAAGCCAUAAAGUGGAUAAUAAUGAUGUGAAUGUAUAAUAUUAAAUGGAAAAUAAAUAAAAAUUAACUAUAUGUGUGUGUGUGUGUGUGUGUGUAUGUACAGGUUGCUGCUGAGUAAGGGCAGGGUUAAGAAGAAGCAGAAAGCCUCCAGUGUGAGACUGAUGGUUUAUAAGUCCAAGGGAAAGGCAUGAAAGAGCUUUUUCUUAAAAGAAUUGAUGCAGGGAGCAGCAAGUAAUAUGUGAGGUGUUUGUGGGGUGUGAAACUAAGGAAAUCUGCUAUAAUCUUUAAACCAUGACGUGCCAAGCGCAUGCCACAUGGCUUAGUGGAAUAUAAUUGUUUUAGAAAACCCCUUUACACUACUAGUGAUUAGGUGAAGAGUGGGUUUUAAGCUCUAGGAAAACUCAGAUGUCACCUGGACAGUGAAAAUGCCAUGUGGUUCAUACCCCCAAAAUGCUGGAAUGGCUAAUGUACAAGACAAACUUUGACACAGUGUGGAUAAGCCCUGACUCCGGAAGGUGGAGAUUGUUAUGAGUGUGGGGUGUUUGCUGUCCCCUCAGGACGAGCUGGACUUCUCUGGACUGACAAAGAAACACAAUCAGCUACUGCAAGAAACAAGGACAGCUAUAUGAACUCUGAGGGAAUGGAGACUCUGUUCCUGUGACAGAAGAGUACAAAUGAACCGUUAUAAUUUGAAACUGUUAAUGAUUUUAUUAAUGCCUCUUCACAUUACUUUCAAACUGUCUUUGAAGCAUCUGUAUCCUGACAAGCAGGAUAUAAAUAACUGUAAAUGAAUAAACAGUCACUAUAAUAGUCCAGACACAUUAAGAAAGAAGAAAAAUCAGACGCGAGCAACUACUGCC
Molecule: non-coding RNA, 2614 nt
Organism: Podarcis lilfordi (Lilford's wall lizard)
Lineage: Eukaryota; Metazoa; Chordata; Lepidosauria; Squamata; Lacertidae
Source: the annotation of a GenBank genome assembly